AAUUCCGUCAUAAUAGAGCCUCCCGAAAUUUAGUCGAAGAAUUCACAAUCAUAUGUGCCAAUCAGAUAUGCUUCCAUCAUUUCCUGCCGGGUAUUAUGUGUAUUUAUUACCAUCUGCAGAGAAAAGUAUGAAACUUACAGCUUUUACCACUGCCAAAAAUGCCAAUUCAAAACUUCCCAAACCGUAACACUCUGAGUUACACUGAUCUGCAGCCGAAUUCCCAAACAUCCGUGGGAUAAAUCAACAUAGAGGAAGCCCUAUACACGAAACAACU
RNAcentral lists this long non-coding RNA (274 nucleotides) under Medicago truncatula (barrel medic). Its description in RNAcentral is "long non-coding RNA (MTRU_LNC005457)". Lineage: Eukaryota; Viridiplantae; Streptophyta; Magnoliopsida; Fabales; Fabaceae. The record is from RNAcentral.